Molecule: ribosomal RNA, 246 nt
Filed under: uncultured bacterium
Lineage: Bacteria
Description: partial 16S ribosomal RNA
Rfam family: Bacterial small subunit ribosomal RNA
Source: RNAcentral
AUACAUAUGGGGCAAGCGUUAUCCGGAAUUAUUGGGCGUAAAGCGUGCGUAGGCGGUUUCUUAAGUCAGGAGUGAAAGGCUACGGCUCAACCGUAGUAAGCUCUUGAAACUGGGAAACUUGAGUGCAGGAGAGGAAAGUGGAAUUCCUAGUGUAGCGGUGAAAUGCGUAGAUAUUAGGAGGAACACCAGUAGCGAAGGCGGCUUUCUGGACUGUAACUGACACUGAGGCACGAAAGCGUGGGGAGC